Molecule: non-coding RNA, 1858 nt
Organism: Pelodiscus sinensis (Chinese soft-shelled turtle)
Lineage: Eukaryota; Metazoa; Chordata; Testudines; Trionychidae
Source: RefSeq, a predicted model, not a curated record
UGGCCACCGAGUACCAUUCCUGGCCCCAUUCUUCGGGCAGUACAAAAGUUGCUGAAGUUUGCGGGUUGCCCAGCAGAAUCACAACAGGGGCCGGCAUUUCUCUCUUCCGACUCUCUGCAGUGCCACAGGACUACUCCAAACCAGGAGCACUGACCCCUGCGAGCCCAUGGGGCAGAGUUUGCAGCGGAAGCCGUCUGGGGAGAAGAGGGGUAAGAUCUGCAUCAUUAACAAAGCUGCUCAAUCUGGACACCGGUGAAUUCGCUCUCUGAAGUUAUCUGUGGAGCCUUCUUUCCAUCAGCUAAUCAGAAUGGCCCACAGCCUAGGGUCAUCCUUCUACGGAGCCAGGCGAGACGGCCGGGGAGGGCUCUGAGCUGGAACGGGGCCUCCACGCCAUCGUGGGCAGUUUCUACAGAUACGCCGAGGGCCCCGAGGGGUUAAAGGAGCUGGACCAGGCGGCUUUCCAGAGGUUGCUCCGCAAUGAAUUGAGCCAUCAGCUCACAGACACGGAGCACACGGAGGCGGCACUGAACAUGUUUCAGAGGGUGGAUGCCAACCAGGACCAGAAGAUCUCCUUCGAGGAGUACUGGGACCUCGUCACAGAGAUCUGCCGAGUGAUCCAGUGCCGCCAUUAUAACGAGUAGUGACCGGGGCAGCUGGUUUGGGGGAGGGGAAACUGAGGCACAUGCCUAAGCAGAAAGCGACCUCACUUUUGCACUCAAAGCAAACCUGCACCUCUCCCACCAUGCCCCACCCACUAACCCAAGUGACCUUAACCUAUGUGCCUGCUGGGAUCUCCACCCCUACCCCCCUUUUUCACGUCUGAGGCCAGCCUGAUCCCUCCUUCUCCCUCGGCCUUCACUCCCCCCACUGCCAGGAGUCACCUCGUACACUCUGAAUCCACCUUGGCCUCUGCUCCCUACGUCACCUGCUGCUCGGAUCCCUCCCAAUUUCCUGUCCCCCUCCAGCGCUGGCAUGGGAAACCCACCCCAUCCAACUCUCCAGUUGCUGGGCUCCCACGCCGCCCCCUGCCCUGCCAUUUAGAUCUCUCCCUGAGCCCUGCGUUCGGCCUGUUCUCCCAGCAUCACCCACUGCCCAAUGGAACUAGGCAACAUGGCAGGAAUAAAGAGUCUUCUCUUGAAGGAGAGGACCAUCGGGGUGUGACAAAAUUGGCUUCUAAAACCCCUCACCUGUGUGUUUGGCCCGGGGCUGACUGGGACACAAGAGCUGAAGUGCCAGAUGGAUUUUGCUCAUGAGGCUUCAGGCUGGCCAGAUAGGCAGCCAGAGCAUUUGGUGUGACUGGUUUCUGGCCUAUUUGGGAAGGUCCCCAGUCUGGGGCUGUAAGGAGCCCAGAGUUUGAGCAAUUCGUCCUGAGCGGACACCCUCAGUGCUGCCCAGACCCGGCCUGGUCCGUCACACGCCCCAAAUAGGGCAUUGGACACAUGACGUAUCCUACACAAUACGGAAUCCGUUGGUAAAUAUGAUUAGACCGACCAAGUCUCGCUUUGCUAUAAAAUGGGUUUAGUAAGAACAAUCGAUGGGAGGGAAUGAGUAGGAUUGACCCACAGGUCCUGCUCGAUGUACCUAGAAGUAAAUAGACCCUUCACACAUUGAAUGGAGUUCCAUUGUGUGGGAAGAAAAGGAAGUACGAUCUCCGGCCUGGUACUGUAGGUAGCAUACGGGUGAAGUGUAAGUGAACUAGGUUCUAUUAUUGUAUUAUAGUAGAUCCUCUAUUAAUUGUUUUUGCAUUGCUUUCUGCUGUAUUAAUUGCUUUAGAAUUUAUAGCAUUUAAGAUUUAAAUUGUGUAUUUUUUUUUUUAGGCUUGUAAAACGUAAACAACUGUAUUAACUGCUUAAAGCUU